RNAcentral lists this ribosomal RNA (253 nucleotides) under uncultured bacterium. RNAcentral describes it as "partial 16S ribosomal RNA". It matches the Rfam family "Bacterial small subunit ribosomal RNA", at positions 524 to 776 of the family's 1533-position model. The record is from RNAcentral.
UACGGAGGGUGCGAACGUUAAUCGGAAUUACUGGGCGUAAAGCGCACGUAGGCGGUUCGUUAAGUGAGGUGUGAAAUCCCCGGGCUCAACCUGGGAAUGGCAUUUCAGACUGGCGGACUCGAGUACGGUAGAGGGGGGUGGAAUUUCCUGUGUAGCGGUGAAAUGCGUAGAUAUAGGAAGGAACACCAGUGGCGAAGGCGGCCCCCUGGACUGAUACUGACGCUGAGGUGCGAAAGCGUGGGGAGCAAACAGG